CUGGGAAACUGCCUGAUGGACGGGGAUAACUACUGGAAACGGGAGCUAAUACCGCAUAACGUCACAACACCAAAGAGGGGGACCUUCGGGCCUCUUGCCAUCUGAUGUGCCCCGAUGGGAUUUGCUCCCGCGUGGGGUAACGGCUCACCUAGGCUACCAUCCCUCCCUGGUCUGAAAGGAUGACC
This 185-nucleotide ribosomal RNA is filed under the name Escherichia coli. RNAcentral's name for it is "partial 16S ribosomal RNA". It matches the Rfam family "Bacterial small subunit ribosomal RNA", at positions 117 to 305 of the family's 1533-position model. Lineage: Bacteria; Pseudomonadati; Pseudomonadota; Gammaproteobacteria; Enterobacterales; Enterobacteriaceae. The record is from RNAcentral.